GAUGAACGCUGGCGGCGUGCCUAAUACAUGCAAGUCGAGCGAAUGGAUUAAGAGCUUGCUCUUAUGAAGUUAGCGGCGGACGGGUGAGUAACACGUGGGUAACCUGCCCAUAAGACUGGGAUAACUCCGGGAAACCGGGGCUAAUACCGGAUAACAUUUUGAACCGCAUGGUUCGAAAUUGAAAGGCGGCUUCGGCUGUCACUUAUGGAUGGACCCGCUUCGCAUUAGCUAGUUGGUGAGGUAACGGCUCACCAAGGCAACGAUGCGUAGCCGACCUGAGAGGGUGAUCGGCCACACUGGGACUGAGAAACGGCCCAGACUCCUACGGGGGGCAGCAGUAGGGAAUCUUCCGCAAUGGACGAAAGUCUGACGGAGCAACGCCGCGUGAGUGAUGAAGGCUUUCGGGUCGUAAAACUCUGUUGUUAGGGAAGAACAAGUGCUAGUUGAAUAAGCUGGCACCUUGACGGUACCUAACCAGAAAGCCACGGCUAACUACGUGCCAGCCGCCGCAGUAA
RNAcentral lists this ribosomal RNA (515 nucleotides) under uncultured bacterium. RNAcentral describes it as "partial 16S ribosomal RNA". It matches the Rfam family "Bacterial small subunit ribosomal RNA", at positions 28 to 523 of the family's 1533-position model. The record is from RNAcentral.